Molecule: ribosomal RNA, 497 nt
Filed under: uncultured bacterium
Lineage: Bacteria
Description: partial 16S ribosomal RNA
Rfam family: Bacterial small subunit ribosomal RNA
Source: RNAcentral
GAUGAACGCUGGCGGCGUGCCUAAUACAUGCAAGUCGAGCGAACAGAUAAGGAGCUUGCUCCUUUGACGUUAGCGGCGGACGGGUGAGUAAAACGUGGGUAACCUACCUAUAAGACUGGGAUAACUUCGGGAAACCGGAGCUAAUACCGGAUAACAUUUGGAACCGCAUGGUUCUAAAGUGAAAGAUGGUUUUGCUAUCACUUAUAGAUGGACCCGCGCCGUAUUAGCUAGUUGGUAAGGUAACGGCUUACCAAGGCGACGAUACGUAGCCGACCUGAGAGGGUGAUCGGCCACACUGGAACUGAGACACGGUCCAGACUCCUACGGGAGGCAGCAGUAGGGAAUCUUCCGCAAUGGGCGAAAGCCUGACGGAGCAACGCCGCGUGAGUGAUGAAGGGUUUCGGCUCGUAAAACUCUGUUAUUAGGGAAGAACAAAUGUGUAAGUAACUGUGCACGUCUUGACGGUACCUAAUCAGAAAGCCACGGCUAACUACGUG